RNAcentral lists this ribosomal RNA (253 nucleotides) under uncultured bacterium. RNAcentral describes it as "partial 16S ribosomal RNA". It matches the Rfam family "Bacterial small subunit ribosomal RNA", at positions 524 to 776 of the family's 1533-position model. The record is from RNAcentral.
UACGUAGGGGGCUAGCGUUGUCCGGAUUUAUUGGGCGUAAAGAGCGUGUAGGCGGCCAGGUAGGUCUGCUGUGAAAACUCGAGGCUCAACCUCGAGACGUCGGCGGAAACCAUCUGGCUAGAGUCCGGAAGAGGAGAGUGGAAUUCCUGGUGUAGCGGUGAAAUGCGCAGAUAUCUGGAGGAACACCGGUGGCGAAGGCGGCAUCCUGGACCGAUACUGACGCUGAGGAGCGAAAGCCAGGGGAGCAAACGGG